ACCGUAUUGCUAAUUAAAACCGUAAUUUAUAUAUGUUCAUAUAAUUAUGUACAGUGAUUCCCGAUUUUACCCAAAUGCAAUGAUUCUAAUUCUAAAGGUAAAUGCCUAGUGUCUUAACACAGAAAGUAGACAAGACCAACGCAAAAAACGCGAAAAAAGUCUUAUCAUGAGUUACCACUAAAUUUAAUAAGACUACCAACGAAAACUAUGGUGUUAAACACUGAUCAUCAAGUCAAACAAUAAACAAUACGUAAAAUGAUGCUCAAUACAAUAUUUAUACAAUGUAUGAAUGAUAAACAUAUAUAAAUGUUAUUAAUUAAUACAGGAGUACCCAACCUAGGUUAAAGUUAUAGCUAUAACUCAAUAAGGACAACCGCCUCCCCCUUUUUAUCGGUGGCAAGAAAUAACUUUUGUCCCACUUCCCUCAUUCAAUUUAAGUUUAGUGCCACUGUAUGUAUACAUAAUAUACUUAAUUAAUUAAUAAUUCUAUUUUAUCACACAGAGCAAAUUUAUGGAUG
Molecule: long non-coding RNA, 518 nt
Organism: Sipha flava (yellow sugarcane aphid)
Lineage: Eukaryota; Metazoa; Arthropoda; Insecta; Hemiptera; Aphididae
Exons: 3
Source: RefSeq, a predicted model, not a curated record